RNAcentral lists this ribosomal RNA (494 nucleotides) under uncultured bacterium. Its description in RNAcentral is "partial 16S ribosomal RNA". It matches the Rfam family "Bacterial small subunit ribosomal RNA", at positions 28 to 507 of the family's 1533-position model. The record is from RNAcentral.
GACGAACGCUGGCGGCGUGCUUAACACAUGCAAGUCGAACGGUGAAGCGCCUUCCUUUUUGGUGGGUGUGGAUGAGUGGCGAACGGGUGAGUAACACGUGAGUAACCUGCCCCCUUCUUCUGGAUAACCGCAUGAAAGUGUGGCUAAUACGGGAUAUUCUGGGUCUGUCGCAUGAUGGGUCUGGGAAAGAUAUUGUUUCGGUGGGGGAUGGGCUCGCGGCCUAUCAGCUUGUUGGUGGGGUGAUGGCCUACCAAGGCGGUGACGGGUAGCCGGCCUGAGAGGGUGGAACGUCCCACUGGGGCUGAGACACGGGCCCGACUCCUAAGGGGGGCAGCCGUGGGGAAUAUUGGACAAUGGGGGCAAGCCUGAUGCAGCGACGCCGCGUGAGGGAUGGAGGCCUUCGGGUUGUGAACCUCUUUCGCCAGUGAAGCAGGCCUGCCUCGUUUGUGGGUGGGUUGACGGUAGCUGGAUAAGAAGCGCCGGCUAACUACGUG